AGUCGACGAUGAAUCUUCUAGCUUGCUAGAAGUGGAUUAGUGGCGCACGGGUGAGUAAUGCAUAGGUUAUGUGCCCUUUAGUCUGGGAUAGCCACUGGAAACGGUGAUUAAUACUGGAUACUCCCUACGGGGGAAAGUUUUUCGCUAAAGGAUCAGCCUAUGUCCUAUCAGCUUGUUGGUGAGGUAAUGGCUCACCAAGGCUAUGACGGGUAUCCGGCCUGAGAGGGUGAUCGGACACACUGGAACUGAGACACGGUCCAGACUCCUACGGGAGGCAGCAGUAGGGAAUAUUGCUCAAUGGGGGAAACCCUGAAGCAGCAACGCCGCGUGGAGGAUGAAGGUUUUAGGAUUGUAAACUCCUUUUGUUAGAGAAGAUUAUGACGGUAUCUAACGAAUAAGCACCGGCUAACUCCGUGCCAGCAGCCGCGGUAAUACGGAGGGUGCAAGCGUUACUCGGAAUCACUGGGCGUAAAGAGUGCGUAGGCGGGGUAAUAAGUCAGAUGUGAAAUCCUGUAGCUUAACUACAGAACUGCAUUUGAAACUGUUACUCUGGAGUGUGGGAGAGGUAGGUGGAAUUCUUGGUGUAGGGGUAAAAUCCGUAGAGAUCAAGAGGAAUACUCAUUGCGAAGGCGACCUGCUGGAACAUUACUGACGCUGAUGCACGAAAGCGUGGGGAGCAAACAGGAUUAGAUACCCUGGUAGUCCACGCCCUAAACGAUGGAUGCUAGUUGUUGCCUUGCUUGUCAGGGCAGUAAUGCAGCUAACGCAUUAAGCAUCCCGCCUGGGGAGUACGGUCGCAAGAUUAAAACUCAAAGGAAUAGACGGGGACCCGCACAAGCGGUGGAGCAUGUGGUUUAAUUCGAAGAUACGCGAAGAACCUUACCUA
Molecule: ribosomal RNA, 886 nt
Filed under: uncultured bacterium
Lineage: Bacteria
Description: bacterial SSU rRNA
Rfam family: Bacterial small subunit ribosomal RNA
Source: RNAcentral